GAGGCGGGCUCGCCUCCCGCCCCGCACUCCUCACAUGCGCGCUCGCUCCCGACACACCCCCCGGGAACACUCCAACCUAUUUCCCAGCGCCCGCGCCAGCCCGAUUAAUUCCCGGCCGCUGUCAGAUUAGGAGCGUGCGGGGCUGGGAAUCGGGGAAAAGGGAUCAAUCCCGGCUGGAGAAGGCAGCGCAGCCGGGUGCGAGCGCAGGGAUGCGAGCUCGGCAGCGCCGGGCCCUCCUCGCAGCCUCUCCCGCAGCCAUCCAAGGGACAAAUCCAUCGGCUGACGUCACAGCGCCAGCAAUUAGCCCCGAAAGGAGGAUGCGGGAGAAAUCUCUCCCCGACCGCUUCCAGCAGCGCCCGGGAAUUAAUCUCGCAUGAAGGGAAGCCGGAGCGGGGAACAAAAGAGGCCGGGGAGGCGGCGGGGGGGCUGCGGGAGCCGAGGCCGGGCUGUGCCCCGCGAUCCCACCCCGGCACCAGCUCCCCCCGGGGGAUGUGCGUCCCUCACCCCCUUCCCGACCUCUUCCCAGAGCUGCCCCAGGGCCGGGGGGGCCCUGCCGGGGGCACAGUCCAAGUCAUGGGGGUACCGCCAGGUUUAUCCAAGAAAAUGCGGGAUUUUAAAUCGUUUCUGGUGAAACUGGCUUUCAGCAGCUCCGCAAGUCCGGGUGUAUUUUUUUUCCUGGCAGGAAAAGUGCUCCGAGCCCCCUCAGGCUUCUCCUGAAGUGGUUCCCACGAGCAUCCCCGGGAUCCUCAUCCCGCACAGCACCCGCCGGGACAGGGGGGACAGCCCGGGCUCCGUCCCCGGGGCCCCCGCCGCAUCCCAGCGCCCGGAAAAACCGGGAUUGGCACUAUCAGCACCCAGCUGCCGAUGGAGGAGCUGCCUCUGCCCCUCCUCUGCCCUCCGGGCACAACAGCGGCGUUUUGGGGACAACCCGCGCGUUCCGGCGCUCGCGAAUGUGGCUUUUCAACGUGACCGCGGAGCGGGGAGGGAAAACUUCCCUUCUGCCGCUCACCCCGCAUCAGCAUCUUUGGGGUCACCGCCGGCAGCCCCACGUGCCCGUCAGGAUUUGUCCCUGCUCGGCGGCAAUGCCCACAUCGUUUUCCCCAUUGGAAAAAAAAAAAAAGGAAAAAAAAAAAGCUGUUUUUCAUUAA
This is a long non-coding RNA of Corvus hawaiiensis (hawaiian crow), 1148 nucleotides long. RefSeq lists it as uncharacterized. The record is from RefSeq and is a predicted model, not a curated record. NCBI's taxonomy places the organism in Eukaryota, Metazoa, Chordata, Aves, Passeriformes, Corvidae. The transcript has 2 exons.